This is a small nuclear RNA of Nymphaea colorata (pocket water lily), 101 nucleotides long. Lineage: Eukaryota; Viridiplantae; Streptophyta; Magnoliopsida; Nymphaeales; Nymphaeaceae. The record is from RefSeq and is a predicted model, not a curated record.
AUCUCUUUGGAGACGUUCGAAAAAUUGGAACACCACAAAGAAUAUUAGCAUGGCUCCUGCGCAAGGAUGAUACAGAAAUGCGCAAGGAUGAUACAGAAAUA